UUGGCAAUAAACCCUAAACAAAAACAAGCCUAAAGUAAACUAAACCCUGAAGACGAACCAAAAUUCCAGAGCCAUGAAAACAGCUACUCUUAGGAAUCUCUCCCUUUACACUCGCAAUCUUCUUCUUUCUCCUCCUAAAUCAAUAACUAAUUCUAACUCAUAUUUUCCUCUGUUUGUCUCUUUAGCUCGUUCUAGACUCAGAUUCUACUCAUCUGAGUCUGAUUCGUCGGGUAAACCAAACUUUAACCAUACCCACAAGCCAAAUGGUUCUGUUGAGGAUGUGGAUGGUGUCAGCGACCAAGAGAUAAAGAAGAGGAUAGAGAAGUUCUAUCAAGGGGACGAAGGUGAGAUUCCAGCUAUCUUCGAAGCCAUUUUGAAGAGGAAAUUAGCUGGGAUUUCUGAUGAUGAUGGCUUGAUGGAAGCACUUGGACCAAAAGUUAAGGAUUCUGAUUCUGAUUCUGAUUCUGAUUCUAAUUCUUCUUCUGAUGAUGACAAAAGAAUAUAGAUUCAUGAGAUGCAAAGAACUUUGUCCAUUAAGUCACAGGAAAGAAAUUUUGUCAAUUAUAGGAAGAACAUGACCAGAAGCUGACAACUACCAGAACCAGCAGACUUCCCAAUUACACCCACAAGAACAUGCCUCAACGACUCAACAUCAUGCCAAAGAACCUCAAGAUCUCGGAUACAAAUAAUUCAUAAUAGCUCAGAAUGUUACAAAUUUGAACAUAAACUGAAAAUGACCUAUCUAAGUUUAAGAAACACAACACAGUUGUCUGAGGAGUAAGGACAAGAUGGCCCAAUAAGAUUCAUUCAAGCUAAUAAAUUAAAUCAUUUAGUAGAAUUUUUUUAGUGGUUAUUGUUAGUAUAUUAAAUGACUAUUGAAUGAAAAAUAAAUUUUUUUUUUGUAAGCUUUUAUUUUUAUAACAUAAAUAAUGUGUAAAAAGAAGUGCUUCGAAUCAUUGCUAUUUGACCCGGUCUGAUUC
Molecule: RNA transcript, 980 nt
Organism: Ricinus communis (castor bean)
Lineage: Eukaryota; Viridiplantae; Streptophyta; Magnoliopsida; Malpighiales; Euphorbiaceae
Exons: 3
Source: RefSeq, a predicted model, not a curated record